AUAUGCCUGGCUCCCUGUAUGCCACUCGCAUAGCUGCCAGCUCUCCCAGCUGUGGCCGUGUACGUUGCUGGCUCUACUGCGGAUGGCGUGCGAGGAGCCAAGCAUGA
RNAcentral lists this microRNA precursor (107 nucleotides) under Setaria italica (foxtail millet). RNAcentral describes it as "pre miRNA mir-160". It matches the Rfam family "mir-160 microRNA precursor family". Rfam says of the family: The hairpin precursors (represented here) are predicted based on base pairing and cross-species conservation -- their extents are not known. In this case the mature sequence is excised from the 5' arm of the hairpin. The record is from Rfam by way of RNAcentral. RNAcentral also lists the same sequence under 1 other name. Lineage: Eukaryota; Viridiplantae; Streptophyta; Magnoliopsida; Poales; Poaceae.